This 403-nucleotide long non-coding RNA is filed under the name Musa acuminata (dwarf banana). RNAcentral describes it as "long non-coding RNA (MACU_LNC000228)". The record is from RNAcentral. Lineage: Eukaryota; Viridiplantae; Streptophyta; Magnoliopsida; Zingiberales; Musaceae.
UUUUUUCAAUUGCUUUUCAAACAUGAAUAUUUAGUAACAAAAUAAAUAAGAGUGGAUUUGUACAAUAAACUUAAAGCCAUAAAAAUAUAUUAAUGAAAUUUGACGAGAUUCCCAAUAUAUAUUCAUGGGCAGACAAUAAAUGAAUUCUCCUCCACAAAAGAAAACAAUUGCAGAAUUUGCAGGCUCAGGGAUCCAACAACAUGGAUCUGAUCUUGGAAGAGCUUCAGACAAAUAGGUCUGUGUAGAGGACAACGUCAGAAACAGCAUGCAGAGCUGUGUUCUCAUUAGGAUGUCCACCAACAAUUGAUUAUUCUCAUUAGUAUGAUGAAAAGAAGCAGAGAAAGCUCUUGAAAAGGAAAGACCAGAGGGUUUAAGCAGCUGCAGCCUCCAAGAGCUCUCUCUC